RNAcentral lists this ribosomal RNA (303 nucleotides) under uncultured bacterium. RNAcentral's name for it is "partial 16S ribosomal RNA". It matches the Rfam family "Bacterial small subunit ribosomal RNA", at positions 507 to 808 of the family's 1533-position model. The record is from RNAcentral.
AGCAGUCGCCGCGGUAAUACGUAGGUCCCGAGCGUUGUCCGGAUUUAUUGGGCGUAAAGGGGGCGCAGGCGGUUUAGUAAGUCUGGAGUUAAAGGCAUUGGCUCAACCAAUGUAUGCUUUGGAAACCGUUUGACUUGAGUGCAGAAGGGGAGAGUGGAAUUCCAUGUGUAGCGGAGAAAUGCGUAGAUAUAUGGAGGAACACCGGUGGCGAAAGCGGCUCUCUGGUCUGUCACUGACGCUGAGGCUCGAAAGCGUGGGUAGCGAACAGGAUUAGAUACCCCUGUAGUCCCUGUCUCUUAUACC